Non-coding RNA from Mycena galericulata, 92 nucleotides. Lineage: Eukaryota; Fungi; Basidiomycota; Agaricomycetes; Agaricales; Mycenaceae. The record is from the annotation of a GenBank genome assembly.
UCGGGUGUGGUGUAUGGUGCACCUCUGCAAACACUUAGAAGAAAUCCACGUCAUGUUGGCAGAAAGACGGGGUUCGACUCCCCGCACCCGAG